Actinia tenebrosa (Australian red waratah sea anemone) is the source of this 724-nucleotide long non-coding RNA. The record is from RefSeq and is a predicted model, not a curated record. NCBI's taxonomy places the organism in Eukaryota, Metazoa, Cnidaria, Anthozoa, Actiniaria, Actiniidae.
AACUAGACUGCACUAGACUGCACUAAGGCACACUAGACUGCAUCGGACUUCAUUCUACUGCAUCAGAAUGCAUCAGACUGCGCUAGACUGCAUCAGACUGCAUCAUGCUGCAUCAGACUCCAUCAGACUGCACUAGACUGCAUCGGACAACAUCAGACUGCAUCAUACUGCAUCAAACUGCAUCGGACAACAUCAGACUGCAUCAGACUGGUAUAUUACAAUAGUUAGUGUAAUAACACCACUAAAAUGGAGGAGCUUGUAUCAUGGAAAUUAUUAUUCGAAUGUGAGAGUGAUCGUAAUGAAGAGACUUUAAUUCCUAUGGCUGCAUGGCGUUAGCUCUCAAACAAAACUCUUCCCUACCAUUCUGCUAUAUUGGAGAGCAUACCAGUCGAAAAUGAUUGAAAAGGUGAAAAGUUUGGGAAGUGCCCUUGUGAUGGCUGGAGAUGGUCGCCACRACAGCAUGGGGCAUUCAGCUAAAUUUGGAGCAUACACAAUGUUUUGUUGCACUCUCCCAAUGAUUUUACACUUCGAGUUAAUCCAGAGAAACCAAGCAGGAAACAGCCCUGCCAUGGAGUUCAUGGGUUUCCAACAAGCAAUGACUUUUUUAAUGGGACUGGAAUUGGAGAUAUCAACAUUUAUUUCUGACAGGCACACAACUAUUACAAGCUGUAUGAAGAAAAAUUAUUCUAAUAUAACACACUAUUUUGACCUGUGGCACCUGAAG